Non-coding RNA from Anolis carolinensis (green anole), 119 nucleotides. NCBI's taxonomy places the organism in Eukaryota, Metazoa, Chordata, Lepidosauria, Squamata, Anolidae. The record is from Rfam.
GUUAUUUGCCCAAAUUCCUUGAAAGCACCAGAUUAUGUCUGAUCUGAAAAACUAAGCAGGGUUAGACCUGGUGAGUACUCAGAAGGGAGGCCACCAGGAAAUAUCAGGUGCUGUAAUUA